RNAcentral lists this ribosomal RNA (276 nucleotides) under uncultured prokaryote. Its description in RNAcentral is "partial 16S ribosomal RNA". It matches the Rfam family "Bacterial small subunit ribosomal RNA", at positions 524 to 800 of the family's 1533-position model. The record is from RNAcentral.
UACGUAGGGGGCUAGCGUUAUCCGGAAUUACUGGGCGUAAAGGGUGCGUAGGUGGUUUCUUAAGUCAGAGGUGAAAGGCUACGGCUCAACCGUAGUAAGCCUUUGAAACUGGGAAACUUGAGCGCAGGAGAGGAGAGUGGAAUUCCUGGUGUAGCGGUGAAAUGCGUAGAUAUUAGGAGGAACACCAGUUGCGAAGGCGGCUCUCUGGACUGUAACUGACGCUGAGGCACGAAAGCGUGGGGAGCAAACAGGAUUAGAUACCCGCGUAGUCCCUGA